This 69-nucleotide transfer RNA is filed under the name Hyphessobrycon elachys. RNAcentral's name for it is "tRNA-Asp". It matches the Rfam family "tRNA". Rfam says of the family: Transfer RNA (tRNA) molecules are approximately 80 nucleotides in length. Their secondary structure includes four short double-helical elements and three loops (D, anti-codon, and T loops). The record is from RNAcentral. Lineage: Eukaryota; Metazoa; Chordata; Actinopteri; Characiformes; Acestrorhamphidae.
ACGAUACUAGUAAAAUCAUAACACUACCUUGUCGAGGUAAUAUUGCAGGUUAAAGUCCUGCGUAUUGUA